GGAAAGAUGAAAAGAACUUUGAAAAGAGAGUUAAACAGUACGUGAAAUUGUUGAAAGGGAAACGAUUGAAGUCAGUCGUGCUGGCGCGAAAUCAACCAUCUCGUCUUGAGGUCGCAUGGCGCGACGAGCCUCAAAACCGCCACGAAGUGUGAACUCUUGACGAAAAGGUGCACUUUCGUGUCCGCUGGUUAACAUCAAUUUCGACCGUCAUAAAAAGGCUGGAGAGAUGUGGCUCCUUCGGGAGUGUUAUAACCUUUAGCGGAAUGUGGUGGUCGGGAUUGAGGAUUGCAACGAAUACCUUCAGGGCUGUUCCACCUGGCUUCUCAUUGGUAUCCUGGUGACGACAGCUUGCUGACUUUGUUAGGAUUCGCCUCUGAACAGGCUAGAGUGUGAGCAAAUUCGUUAAGGAUGUUAACGUAAUGGCUUUAAACGACCGUCUUGAAACACGGACCA
This 453-nucleotide ribosomal RNA is filed under the name Entrophospora infrequens. RNAcentral describes it as "LSU rRNA". It matches the Rfam family "Eukaryotic large subunit ribosomal RNA", at positions 358 to 668 of the family's 3401-position model. Lineage: Eukaryota; Fungi; Glomeromycota; Glomeromycetes; Entrophosporales; Entrophosporaceae. The record is from RNAcentral.